Molecule: unclassified non-coding RNA, 339 nt
Filed under: uncultured fungus
Lineage: Eukaryota; Fungi
Description: partial contains 5.8S ribosomal RNA and internal transcribed spacer 2
Rfam family: 5.8S ribosomal RNA (bases 1-133)
Source: RNAcentral
UGGUUCUGGCAUCGAUGAAGAACGCAGCGAAAUGCGAUAAGUAAUGUGAAUUGCAGAAUUCAGUGAAUCAUCGAAUCUUUGAACGCACAUUGCGCCCGCUAGUAUUCUAGCGGGCAUGCCUGUUCGAGCGUCAUUUCAACCCUCAAGCCCUCGCGGCUUGGUGUUGGGGAUCGGCCGCAAGCCUUCACGGCAGGCGGCCGGCCCCGAAAUCUAGUGGCGGUCUCGCUGUAGUCCCCCUCUGCGUAGUAGCACACCUCGCACUGGAAGCUCGGCCUGACCACGCCGUAAAACCCCCCACUUCUGAAGGUUGACCUCGGAUCAGGUAGGAAUACCCGCUGA